GUGCCAGCAGCCGCGGUAAGACGAAGGAUUCAAGCGUUGUCCGGAUUUACUGGGUUUAAAGGGUGCGUAGGCGGAACUUUAAGUCAGUGGUGAAAGCUCUCGGCUCAACCGAGAAACUGCCAUUGAAACUGAUUUUCUUGAAUACAGUUGAGGUAGAUGGAAUAUAACAUGUAGCGGUGAAAUGCUUAGAUAUGUUAUAGAACACCGAUUGCGAAGGCAGUCUGCUAAGCUGUUAUUGACGCUGAGGCACGAAAGCGUGGGGAGCAAACAGGAUUAGAUACCCCCGUAGUCC
RNAcentral lists this ribosomal RNA (292 nucleotides) under uncultured bacterium. Its description in RNAcentral is "partial 16S ribosomal RNA". It matches the Rfam family "Bacterial small subunit ribosomal RNA", at positions 505 to 796 of the family's 1533-position model. The record is from RNAcentral.